Molecule: non-coding RNA, 80 nt
Organism: Mycena amicta
Lineage: Eukaryota; Fungi; Basidiomycota; Agaricomycetes; Agaricales; Mycenaceae
Source: the annotation of a GenBank genome assembly
GGUUGUAUAGUGUAGUGGUCAUCACACGAGAUUUUGAGCUUCACCUUCUCGAAACCCCGGUUCGAACCCGGGUACGACCU